Molecule: long non-coding RNA, 310 nt
Organism: Dicentrarchus labrax (European seabass)
Lineage: Eukaryota; Metazoa; Chordata; Actinopteri; Moronidae
Exons: 3
Source: RefSeq, a predicted model, not a curated record
CGCUCAUUCGACACACUGAUCUGCGCCUGGCAGACGGGAGGAGGUUGUUGACAGAUGGAUGUCAAGGUUCUGUUCGUAACCUCGGGCCGUGGAUGCUGCUGACGCUGCCUUAUACCAGCUGCCACUUGGCAUUAUGGGUUUCAAAUGGAACCUGGUUUCGUCAGCUGAGACUUCGUUACUUUGACCAUCUGCUGCAGGCAAACGUAACUGGUCUGGCCACCUGUGAGAAUCCUGCAACAUCCCUGCAACUGAUGCCACCGUUGGUGACUUGCAGAACAACAGAUGUCACUGUGAAACUGCCUCUUGGAAC